GAGUUUGAUCAUGGCUCAGGACGAACGCUGGCGGCGUGCUUAACACAUGCAAGUCGCACGGGGCAGCAAUGCCCAGUGGCGAACGGGUGCGUAACACGUGAGGAACUUGUCCAUCGGCGGGGGAUAGCCGGCCCAACGGCCGGGUAAUACCGCGUACGUCGACCGGGGCGCCUGCCCUGGCCGGGAAAGCAGCAAUGCACCGAUGGAGAGCCUCGCGGCCUAUCAGCUUGUUGGCGGGGUAACGGCCCACCAAGGCGACGACGGGUAGCUGGUCUGAGAGGAUGAUCAGCCACAUUGGGACUGAGACACGGCCCAGACUCCUACGGGAGGCAGCAGUGGGGAAUAUUGCGCAAUGGGCGAAAGCCUGACGCAGCGACGCCGCGUGCGGGAUGACGGCCU
Molecule: ribosomal RNA, 399 nt
Filed under: uncultured Gemmatimonadota bacterium
Lineage: Bacteria; Pseudomonadati; Gemmatimonadota
Description: bacterial SSU rRNA
Rfam family: Bacterial small subunit ribosomal RNA
Source: RNAcentral